UACGGAAGGUCCGGGCGUUAUCCGGAUUUAUUGGGUUUAAAGGGAGCGUAGGCCGGCUUUUAAGUCAGCUGUGAAAGUCCGCGGCUCAACCGUGGAAUUGCAGUUGAAACUGGCAGUCUUGAGUACAGUAGAGGUGGGCGGAAUUCGUGGUGUAGCGGUGAAAUGCUUAGAUAUCACGAAGAACUCCGAUUGCGAAGGCAGCUCACUGGACUGCAACUGACACUGAGGCUCGAAAGUGUGGGUAUCAAACAGG
RNAcentral lists this ribosomal RNA (253 nucleotides) under uncultured Bacteroides sp. RNAcentral's name for it is "partial 16S ribosomal RNA". It matches the Rfam family "Bacterial small subunit ribosomal RNA", at positions 524 to 776 of the family's 1533-position model. The record is from RNAcentral. Lineage: Bacteria; Pseudomonadati; Bacteroidota; Bacteroidia; Bacteroidales; Bacteroidaceae.